Molecule: long non-coding RNA, 693 nt
Filed under: Phasianus colchicus (ring-necked pheasant)
Lineage: Eukaryota; Metazoa; Chordata; Aves; Galliformes; Phasianidae
Description: lncRNA (ENSPCLG00000015357.1)
Source: RNAcentral
AAGAGUGAAUGCCUGGGAACUGGGGAUUUGACCUACAUGGGAGUUUGACAUGCAGCAGCAUCUGAGCUUCAUUGGUGUUUUUUUUUGUUGUUGUUGUUUUUUUUCUUCUCAGUGGUGACCAGCAAAACAAACACCUGCCAAGGACCCCCUGCUUGAGGCUGUUUUAUUCCUGGUGCCAGGAGGAUGCUCCAGUGGGUGCCCAGAGUGCCCGGGUGUCACGCUCUCUUCCAGGUCUCCCCCUGCUGCCUGUGCUGCUGACCCCAGCCCUCUGCCCCUGGCCCUCAAAGCUCUGCAGGCUCCUGCUCUGCGCUCAGCAUGCUCCUCCCUGGUGGACCCCGGCCCUCUGAGGAAUCGCUCUGGAGCUCGAGGCCAGCCUACAGGGAGAGCAUUUUUCAUCCUUUCCAAACGUGAAAAGAGUGGCCAUCUGCACAGACCCCGUCACGCGAAAUCGGCACGAAAGCGGCUCUUUGGGGAAGGUGAUACGGCUGUGCCGCUGCCUCCUCUUGUGCCAGGGCUCCUCCCACUGGUCUCCCAUCCCUGGUAGGAAAUGGAGUCAAAGGUCUCCGAAGGCGGCCUGAACGUCACCCUCACCAUCCGGCUGCUGAUGCACGGCAAGGUAAAGGCUCCUGGCAGGGCUACACCCCUCUCCCUUUCCUGCUUGGGUUAUAUUCAUGUCUUGCAACAUCAUUUAUU